This 281-nucleotide long non-coding RNA is filed under the name Homo sapiens (human). RNAcentral's name for it is "LNC_000921". The record is from RNAcentral. Lineage: Eukaryota; Metazoa; Chordata; Mammalia; Primates; Hominidae.
GGCUUCACAGGGUCUCCCUGGGUCACCAAGGCCAUCAGCAGCAUCAGAAGGCCUUUCCUGGGGGAGCCCAAGGUCAUGGUCCCUCUGGGCCCGCUCUGCGGGUGGCGGGGCGCUAGCCUUCGGCGGACCGGGGCCACCUCCCCUCCACCGCGCGGCCGCAGUUGCACCGCCAGCGCUGGACGGCGGGCUGGGGUCCGGGCGCGGCCCCGGACCGGGCUGGAGCCGGGGAGGGGCUCGCUCGGCGCAGCUGGCGCGGCAGCCUCCCGGGACUGGGAUGGGGG